UACGUAGGUGGCAAGCGUUGUCCGGAAUUAUUGGGCGUAAAGCGCGCGCAGGUGGUUUCUUAAGUCUGAUGUGAAAGCCCACGGCUCAACCGUGGAGGGUCAUUGGAAACUGGGGAACUUGAGUGCAGGAGAGAAGAGUGGAAUUCCACGUGUAGCGGUGAAAUGCGUAGAGAUGUGGAGGAACACCAGUGGCGAAGGCGACUCUUUGGCCUGUAACUGACACUGAGGCGCGAAAGCGUGGGGAGCAAGCAGG
RNAcentral lists this ribosomal RNA (253 nucleotides) under uncultured bacterium. RNAcentral describes it as "partial 16S ribosomal RNA". It matches the Rfam family "Bacterial small subunit ribosomal RNA", at positions 524 to 776 of the family's 1533-position model. The record is from RNAcentral.